Molecule: long non-coding RNA, 606 nt
Filed under: Equus caballus (horse)
Lineage: Eukaryota; Metazoa; Chordata; Mammalia; Perissodactyla; Equidae
Description: lncRNA (ENSECAG00000055148.1)
Source: RNAcentral
AAAGCGUGAGAUAAAGUGAUAAUCACUUAUGGAUAUUUUAUUGCAUAUCUGGAAAACUCUAAAGAAGCAACUGAAAAAAGUGAACAAAAAUCUAAGAGGAUUUGGCAAAGUAUAAAAUUAGGAUAUGGAAAUUGGCAGCCUUUCUAUCUAGAAACAAGAACCACUAGGAAAUAUGAUCAAAGAAAAGACAACAUCAAAAAAAGGUAAAACAUCUGAGAAUGUGGUUAGAGGAAAUGUGGAAACUCUACAGCAGGAAGACUUCACGGCCUCCGGGGCUGCGCUGGCCGGGACGAGGGGAGCAGCAGGCUGUGCUGGAAGGGAAGACUUGUCAAGAUGCCGGUUUUCACUAAGUUCAUCUACAGUUCCAGCCAGACCACUGACCCACUGCCCCAGAGCAGCCGGCGAACACGGAGUUGGUGGGAAUCGGGGCGCUGACGGCUGACCCGGGCAGCGUGGAGCUGCUGCAUCGGGCGGUGCUUUUCAAGUCUCGGAAGCAGGACGAGACGCGGUCUUGCCUGACCCAGCAGAAGUUGAUCACAAGUCCAUUUGGGGCUUUCCCAGGCAGGCGGUGGGUCCCUGCUCCACCGCCACUGCCGUGCCCACCGC